RNAcentral lists this microRNA precursor (105 nucleotides) under Canis lupus familiaris (dog). RNAcentral describes it as "mir-8834 microRNA precursor family". It matches the Rfam family "mir-8834 microRNA precursor family". Lineage: Eukaryota; Metazoa; Chordata; Mammalia; Carnivora; Canidae. The record is from Rfam by way of RNAcentral. RNAcentral also lists the same sequence under 1 other name.
UGGAGGAACAACCCCAGUGGCUGAGGCAGCUCUGGAAACCUGGAUUCAGCCCCAGCAGGAACUCCAUAGCUUUCCGUCUGCAGGACCUGGAAGCUCCGGUGCAGG